GAUAUUGCACAAUGGGGGAAACCCUGAUGCAGCGACGCCGCGUGAGGGAAGAAGGUUUUCGGAUUGUAAACCUCUGUCAUGUGGGACGAUAAUGACGGUACCACAUGAGGAAGCCACGGCUAACUACGUGCCAGCAGCCGCGGUAAUACGUAGGUGGCAAGCGUUGUCCGGAAUUACUGGGUGUAAAGGGAGCGUAGGCGGGAAUGCAAGUUGAAUGUUUAAACUAUCGGCUCAACCGGUAGUCGCGUUCAAAACUGUAUUUCUUGAGUGAAGUAGAGGCAAGCGGAAUUCCUAGUGUAGCGGUGAAAUGCGUAGAUAUUAGGUGGAACACCAGUGGCGAAGGCGGCUUGCUGGGCUUUUACUGACGCUGAGGCUCGAAAGCGUGGGUAGCAAACAGG
Molecule: ribosomal RNA, 398 nt
Filed under: uncultured bacterium
Lineage: Bacteria
Description: partial 16S ribosomal RNA
Rfam family: Bacterial small subunit ribosomal RNA
Source: RNAcentral